RNAcentral lists this ribosomal RNA (492 nucleotides) under uncultured bacterium. RNAcentral describes it as "partial 16S ribosomal RNA". It matches the Rfam family "Bacterial small subunit ribosomal RNA", at positions 29 to 507 of the family's 1533-position model. The record is from RNAcentral.
AGUGAACGCUGGCGGUAGGCCUAACACAUGCAAGUCGAACGGCAGCACAGUAAGAGCUUGCUCUUACGGGUGGCGAGUGGCGGACGGGUGAGGAAUACAUCGGAAUCUACUUUUUCGUGGGGGAUAACGUAGGGAAACUUACGCUAAUACCGCAUACGACCUACGGGUGAAAGCAGGGGAUCUUCGGACCUUGCGCGAUUGAAUGAGCCGAUGUCGGAUUAGCUAGUUGGCGGGGUAAAGGCCCACCAAGGCGACGAUCCGUAGCUGGUCUGAGAGGAUGAUCGGCCACACUGGAACUGAGACACGGUCCAGACUCCUACGGGAGGCAGCAGUGGGGAAUAUCGGACAAUGGGCGCAAGCCUGAUCCAGCCAUACCGCGUGGGUGAAGAAGGCCUUCGGGUUGUAAAGCCCUUUUGUUGGGAAAGAAAAGCAGCAGGUUAAUACCCCGCUGUUCUGACGGUACCCAAAGAAUAAGCACCGGCUAACUUCGUG